UAUUUUAAUGGCCGCAGUAUUUUAACUGUGCGAARGUAGCAUAAUCAUUAGUUUUUUAAUUGAAAGCUUGUAUGAAUGGUUGAAUGAAAAAAUGACUGUCUCUAUCUAAAUUUAUUAGAAAUUUAUUUUUAAGUAAAAAAGCUUAAAUAUUUAUAAAAGACGAGAAGACCCUAUAGAGUUUUAUAAUUUUAAGUGUUUGGGAAAUUUAGUAUUAAUUUUUCUAUCAGUAAAAAUUAUUUGAUUGGGGUGAUUUGAAAAUUGAAGUAACUUUUCAUCUAUAAAACCAUUUAUAUAUGAAUUUAUGAUCCUUAUUUAAAGAUUAAAAGUAAAAAUUACCUUAGGGAUAACAGCGUAAUUUUUUUUUAGAGUUCUAAUCGACAAAAAAGAUUGCGACCUCGAUGUUGGAUUAAAGUAUAAUUUUGGUGUAGAUGCUAAAAGCUUUAGGUCUGUUCGACCUUUAAUACUUUACAUGAUCUGAGUUUAAACCGGUGUGAGCCAGGU
Molecule: ribosomal RNA, 501 nt
Filed under: Liparus tenebrioides
Lineage: Eukaryota; Metazoa; Arthropoda; Insecta; Coleoptera; Curculionidae
Description: partial 16S ribosomal RNA
Rfam family: Bacterial large subunit ribosomal RNA
Source: RNAcentral